RNAcentral lists this long non-coding RNA (2026 nucleotides) under Macaca fascicularis (crab-eating macaque). RNAcentral describes it as "lncRNA (ENSMFAG00000053917.1)". Lineage: Eukaryota; Metazoa; Chordata; Mammalia; Primates; Cercopithecidae. The record is from RNAcentral.
GUGUUACCUCCAAGAUUUUGUGAAACAUUAUGCUUGUCUGUAUUUGUGUGUGCAUGUCUGUGUGAAUUUUGAGUUCAGGAAUAACAGGUGAUUUGAUCACAGCUAUUUGACAGUGGUGAUAGUCAUUGUAUGCCAAGACGUUUAUGAAGGGAAUAGGUAGAUUGAGUGAGGUUCCUAUAUAUUUUGCCUAGUUGUACUCACCUACAAGAGCUGUAAUUAAAUGUUUCUCUCUUUCCCCUUCUUCCUCUCUUUUAUUCAUUUUUAUUUAUUUAUUUAUUUUUUUUACGAAGUCUCGCUCUCUCACCCAGGCUAGAGUGUGGUGGCACGAUCUUGGCUCACUGCAACUUUCGUCUCCUGGGUUCAAGCGAUUCUCCUGCCUCAGCCUCCUGAGUAGCUGGGAUUACAGGUGUGCACCAUCACACCUGGCUAAUUUUCAUAUUUCUAGUAGAAACAGAGUUUUGUCAUGUUGGCCAGGCUGGUCUCGAACUCCUGACCUCAAGUGAUCUGCCCGCUUUGGCCUCCCAACGGAAUGAGCCAUCAUGUCGGGCCUCAUUCAUUCUUUCUUUCAUAGAAGUUUGGAUACUGCCAAACAAAAUUAAAGACAUGAAAAACCAAUUGUUAUUACAAAUGUUACAAUUAUGUAACCACUGGUGUUUAUUUUUAUUAGAGCCAUAGCACCUACUGGCCUCUGCUUCAGGGAUUCACAAUGGUGGUGGGCAGGUUGGAUAUCACAGGGCUUACCCCUAGCAAUGCAUUCUAUUCCGCCUAUGCCCAGGUGGUGGUAAACAUGUAAGCAUCCAGUACACUGCGGUACCGACCCAUCAGAACAGACGCUGACUGGUACAACACAAUGGUGAAUGUUGCUGAAUAGCAACCCUUAAUCGAUAAUGAUCAAAUCUCCAUGGAGGUAAACUAAACUAGAAGUUUACCUCAAACAGGUAAUUUUUGUGCCAUACAUGAUUCACAGAACCUUCCAGAUCUGAUGCUUUCUGAGUGACCUGGUCAACUUGUUCUCAACCUGGAAUUCUUGGACCCUUAGAUGUUUGUAAAUUUGUUCUCAGAGCCUCUGAGCUCUCCACCUUCAUUUUUAAGUGCUUUAAUUUUUUUUUGGUGAUAAUCUUUAAAACUUCACAGAUGUGUGUCCUGGCUCUUCAGGGCGACUGCUUCAUAUUUGAGUACUGCCACACAAUGACUGCUCAUGUUCUGGGGCCUGCCUACAGAAAGGGACGAACUUUACCUUGGACUUUUUAAUGUAGUGUGGAUGUGCGUCUGUAGCUAGAGGUCUUCAGGUGCCAGUGGUUAAUCUGUUUGAAGCUUGCUUUAUUACAACCUCUCAUUCCGUAACAGACUCCUCCUCCACCAUCCCUCACCUCUGCUGAACCCUUCUAGCAGAGGGAACUCACCACAAGUGGGGACAUGGAUUUGGGAGCUUGAAAGGACCCCAGUGACCCUGCAGUCCAGCCCUUAGAGUGCUAAGUGACUUACUGAAGCCUCGAAGCCAUUCCUGGAGGAUUUGCAAUUCUUUUUUUUAUUUUUAUUUUUAUUUUUUUUAUACUUUAAGUUCUAGGGUACAUGUGCAUAAUGUGCAGGUUUGUUACAUAUGUAUACUUGUUCCACGUUGGCAUGCUGCACCCAUCAACUCCUCAGCACCCAUCAACUCGUCAUUUACAUCAGGUAUAACUCCCAAUGCAAUCCCUCCCCCUUCCCCCCUCCCCAUGAUAGGCCCCGGUGUAUGAUGUUCCCCUUCCCGAGUCCAAGUGAUCUCAUUGUUCAGUUCCCACCUAUGAGUGAGAACAUGCGGUGUUUGGUUUUCUGUUCUUGUGAUAGUUUGCUGAGAAUGAUGGUUUCCAGCUGCAUCCAUGUCCCUACAAAGGACACAAACUCAUCCCUUUUUAUGGCUGCAUAGUAUUCCAUGGUGUAUAUGUGCCACAUUUUCUUAAUCCAGUCUGUCACUGAUGGACAUUUGGGUUGAUUCCAAGUCUUUACUAUUGUGAAUAGUGCCGCAAUAAACAUAUGUGUGCAUGUG